This 213-nucleotide long non-coding RNA is filed under the name Salvia miltiorrhiza (redroot sage). RNAcentral describes it as "long non-coding RNA (SMIL_LNC000321)". Lineage: Eukaryota; Viridiplantae; Streptophyta; Magnoliopsida; Lamiales; Lamiaceae. The record is from RNAcentral.
GGGUAGGUGGAGUGUGAGGGAUUAAAAGGGUGUGAUUAAAUAAAUCCUUCAGUGUUGGUCGUCCUGUUAUUUAAAAUACUGGCUCCGUGUCUUGCAAUAUCGUAUCUAACAAUUAAAUUAAAUCCGUAGAUUUAAUUUGCUCGUUGUUCUAAUACAUAAAUUAAAUCCGUAGAUUUAAUUAGCCCCAGAGUCGGAAAUAAUUCACGACUAAGU